This 839-nucleotide ribosomal RNA is filed under the name Lactobacillus sp. 7.8.15. RNAcentral describes it as "bacterial SSU rRNA". It matches the Rfam family "Bacterial small subunit ribosomal RNA", at positions 56 to 860 of the family's 1533-position model. The record is from RNAcentral. Lineage: Bacteria; Bacillati; Bacillota; Bacilli; Lactobacillales; Lactobacillaceae.
UGCAGUCGAACGAGCUUCCGUUGAAUGACGUGCUUGCACUGAUUUCAACAAUGAAGCGAGUGGCGAACUGGUGAGUAACACGUGGGGAAUCUGCCCAGAAGCAGGGGAUAACACUUGGAAACAGGUGCUAAUACCGUAUAACAACAAAAUCCGCAUGGAUUUUGUUUGAAAGGUGGCUUCGGCUAUCACUUCUGGAUGAUCCCGCGGCGUAUUAGUUAGUUGGUGAGGUAAAGGCCCACCAAGACGAUGAUACGUAGCCGACCUGAGAGGGUAAUCGGCCACAUUGGGACUGAGACACGGCCCAAACUCCUACGGGAGGCAGCAGUAGGGAAUCUUCCACAAUGGACGAAAGUCUGAUGGAGCAAUGCCGCGUGAGUGAAGAAGGGUUUCGGCUCGUAAAACUCUGUUGUUAAAGAAGAACACCUUUGAGAGUAACUGUUCAAGGGUUGACGGUAUUUAACCAGAAAGCCACGGCUAACUACGUGCCAGCAGCCGCGGUAAUACGUAGGUGGCAAGCGUUGUCCGGAUUUAUUGGGCGUAAAGCGAGCGCAGGCGGUUUUUUAAGUCUGAUGUGAAAGCCUUCGGCUUAACCGGAGAAGUGCAUCGGAAACUGGGAGACUUGAGUGCAGAAGAGGACAGUGGAACUCCAUGUGUAGCGGUGGAAUGCGUAGAUAUAUGGAAGAACACCAGUGGCGAAGGCGGCUGUCUAGUCUGUAACUGACGCUGAGGCUCGAAAGCAUGGGUAGCGAACAGGAUUAGAUACCCUGGUAGUCCAUGCCGUAAACGAUGAGUGCUAAGUGUUGGAGGGUUUCCGCCCUUCAGUGCUGCAGCUAACGCAU